CCUAAAGGUCAGAGGCUUCCAGCAGGACGACGACCCGAAGCACAGAGCCAGGGCUGCGAUGGGCCUUUUCUGUCUCUGCGGAAGAUGAAAGCAGAAAGUCAGAAGGAGGUUCAAAUUACGUAGAGGCCAGAAGGAUCUGGGAACUGGAGGAAGCUGAGCAGAAGAAAAGGAAAAGGAUAAAUCAACGUGAUGCAUCAGGAGGAGGGAACUGGAAACAACACAAACGCAUGGAGGGAGGAUGACAGAAGACAAUGAAUGCAUUAAAACCUGAAGUCACGUC
Long non-coding RNA from Poecilia reticulata (guppy), 280 nucleotides. RefSeq lists it as uncharacterized. The record is from RefSeq and is a predicted model, not a curated record. Lineage: Eukaryota; Metazoa; Chordata; Actinopteri; Cyprinodontiformes; Poeciliidae.